This 801-nucleotide ribosomal RNA is filed under the name uncultured Serratia sp. RNAcentral's name for it is "partial 16S ribosomal RNA". The stretch from base 9 to 492 matches the Rfam family "Bacterial small subunit ribosomal RNA", at positions 9 to 546 of the family's 1533-position model. The record is from RNAcentral. Lineage: Bacteria; Pseudomonadati; Pseudomonadota; Gammaproteobacteria; Enterobacterales; Yersiniaceae.
UUCGAUUAGAGUUUGAUCCUGGCUCAGAUUGAACGCUGGCGGCAGGCUUAACACAUGCAAGUCGAGCGGUAGCACAGGGGAGCUUGCUCCCUGGGUGACGAGCGGCGGACGGGUGAGUAAUGUCUGGGAAACUGCCUGAUGGAGGGGGAUAACUACUGGAAACGGUAGCUAAUACCGCAUAACGUCGCAAGACCAAAGAGGGGGACCUUCGGGCCUCUUGCCAUCAGAUGUGCCCAGAUGGGAUUAGCUAGUAGGUGGGGUAAUGGCUCACCUAGGCGACGAUCCCUAGCUGGUCUGAGAGGAUGACCAGCCACACUGGAACUGAGACACGGUCCAGACUCCUACGGGAGGCAGCAGUGGGGAAUAUUGGACAAUGGGCGCAAGCCUGAUGCAGCCGUGCCGCGUGUGUGAAGAAAGCCUUCGCGUUGUGAAGCACUUUCAUCGAGGAGGAAGGUGGUAAGCUUAGGACGCUGGUCGGUCGACCGAGCGUCCGAAGGAGUCGGGGUUGCAUUGCGUAGAGGGGGCGCGGUGAAUAGGGGGGUGUGGGAGGGGGGGUUAGAAGUUGGCUUAAGGAGGGGUGUGCACGGCGGGGUGUUAACGCCCGAUUUUAGGGCGGGGGGUUACCCGCGGCGUGUGGGGUUUGAAUGGGUGGCGGGGGGCAGCAUCUGGAGGUGUGGGGGGGGGCGGGGGUAUCGUUCGGUAGGCGUCGCGCUUCCGGAGGUGCCUAGUUGUCCGCGUUUCCCGGUGGAUGGGGGUGAGUUAGCGUGAGGGCGGGGGUGAGCGCCUGUGGCCCGGCGCGGU